Molecule: ribosomal RNA, 497 nt
Filed under: uncultured bacterium
Lineage: Bacteria
Description: partial 16S ribosomal RNA
Rfam family: Bacterial small subunit ribosomal RNA
Source: RNAcentral
GAUGAACGCUGGCGGCGUGCCUAAUACAUGCAAGUCGAGCGAACGGACGAGAAGCUUGCUUCUCUGAUGUUAGCGGCGGACGGGUGAGUAACACGUGGAUAACCUACCUAUAAGACUGGGAUAACGUCGGGAAACCGGAGCCAAUACCGGAUAAUAUUUUGAACCGCAUGGUUCAAAAGUGAAAGACGGUCUUGCUGUCACUUAUAGAUGGAUCCGCGCUGCAUUAGCUAGGUGGUAAGGUAACGGCUUACCAAGGCAACGAUGCAUAGCUGAUCUGAGAGGAUGAUCGGUCACACUGGCACUGAGACACGGUCCAGACUCCUACGGGAGGCAGCAGGGGGGAAUAUUGGACAAUGGGCGAAAGCCUGAUCCAGCCAUGCCGCGUGUGUGAAGAAGGUCUUCGGAUUGUAAAGCACUUUAAGUUGGGAAGAAGAGCAGUAAGUUAAUACCUUGCUGUUUUGACGUUACCAACAGAAUAAGCACCGGCUAACUUCGUG